CCUACGGGUGGCUGCAGUGAGGAAUAUUGGUCAAUGGCCGAGAGGCUGAACCAGCCAAGUCGCGUGAGGGAAGACGGCCCUACGGGUUGUAAACCUCUUUUGUCGGGGAGCAAAGAGAGUCACGUGUGACUCAUUGAGAGUACCCGAAGAAAAAGCAUCGGCUAACUCCGUGCCAGCAGCCGCGGUAAUACGUAGGGAGCGAGCGUUGUCCGGAAUUACUGGGUGUAAAGGGAGCGUAGGCGGGACUGCAAGUUGGGUGUCAAAUCUACCGGCUCAACCGGUAGCCGCACUCAAAACUGCAGUUCUUGAGUGAAGUAGAGGCAGGCGGAAUUCCUAGUGUAGCGGUGAAAUGCGUAGAUAUUAGGAGGAACACCAGUGGCGAAGGCGGCCUGCUGGGCUUUUACUGACGCUGAGGCUCGAAAGUGUGGGGAGCAAACAGGAUUAGAUACCCGAGUAGUC
This 459-nucleotide ribosomal RNA is filed under the name uncultured bacterium. RNAcentral describes it as "partial 16S ribosomal RNA". It matches the Rfam family "Bacterial small subunit ribosomal RNA", at positions 338 to 795 of the family's 1533-position model. The record is from RNAcentral.